RNAcentral lists this ribosomal RNA (475 nucleotides) under uncultured bacterium. RNAcentral's name for it is "bacterial SSU rRNA". It matches the Rfam family "Bacterial small subunit ribosomal RNA", at positions 37 to 507 of the family's 1533-position model. The record is from RNAcentral.
UGGCGGCAGGCUUAACACAUGCAAGUCGAGCGGUAGCAGAUCUAGCUUGCUAGAUGCUGACGAGCGGCGGACGGGUGAGUAACGCGUAGGAACCUGCCCAGUAGUGGGGGAUAGCCCGGGGAAACUCGGAUUAAUACCGCAUACGCUCUACGGAGGAAAGAGGGGGCUUCGGCUCUCGCUAUUGGAUGGGCCUGCGUGAGAUUAGCUAGUUGGUGAGGUAAUGGCUCACCAAGGCGACGAUCUCUAGCUGGUCUGAGAGGAUGAUCAGCCACACUGGGACUGAGACACGGCCCAGACUCCUACGGGAGGCAGCAGUGGGGAAUAUUGCACAAUGGGCGCAAGCCUGAUGCAGCCAUGCCGCGUGUGUGAAGAAGGCUUUCGGGUUGUAAAGCACUUUCAGUGGGGAGGAAGGCCUCGUAGUUAAUAGCUACGAGGAUUGACGUUACCCACAGAAGAAGCACCGGCUAACUCCGUG